RNAcentral lists this small RNA (875 nucleotides) under Arabidopsis thaliana (thale cress). RNAcentral describes it as "ATSL143430". The record is from RNAcentral. Lineage: Eukaryota; Viridiplantae; Streptophyta; Magnoliopsida; Brassicales; Brassicaceae.
UUUUUCUUUUCUUUUGAGAUAGUCUCCAUCGUUUUUGCCGAUGGAGAUGAUAAACAAAGUAUGGAUUCAUUAUAAAAGACUACUUUGUUUCAUUUACCUCUGCAUUUUUGAGCAACAAUGGCAGCAAUGAUCACUGUUGACUUUCAAAAUAGCUUCAUCUUCAUCCUCUUUUGUCUCUUCUCUCUCAUUUGUUACUCUCUCUUCUUCAGGAAACCAAAAGAUUCACGAGCUGGUCGUGAUCUUCCUCCGAGCCCUCCUUCUUUUCCGGUAAUUGGUCAUCUUUAUUAGGGACAAUGUCCCACAUCGAAAGUUGAGUAGGAUCUUAAGUGAUAUAUAUAAGAUAUGGGUCUCUCCACCUAUUGCCAAUUGGUUUUAGGUUGGAAGCCCACAGUCUAAUAUGGUAUCAGAGCCCGAUCCGCACAUACUCAAUCCGAUCCACAUCGGUCCGGCCCAAUACUUGGCCCGCCGAUCCAUGCCCAAACAUAUCGAGAUCAAUGGCUAGAAGAGCCAUCAUCUCGAGGGGGCGUAUUAGGGACAAUGUCCCACAUCGAAAGUUGAGUAGGAUCUUAAGUGAUAUAUAUAAGAUAUGGGUCUCUCCACCUAUUGCCAAUUGGUUUUAGGUUGGAAGCCCACAGUCUAAUAAUCUUCACCUUCUUCUCUCUGCUCUUGUUCACAAGUCUUUUCAAAAAAUCUCCUACAAGUAUGGACCUCUCCUCCAUCUCCGUGUCUUUCAUGUUCCCAUAGUCCUAGCCUCCUCGGCCUCAGUGGCCUACGAAAUUUUCAAGGCCCAAGAUGUGAAUGUCUCCUCUCGCGGUCACGCUCCAGCCGGGGAGUCUCUCUUGUUUGGAUCUUCUAGCUUCUUCUUCGCUCCCUAU